UACAGAGGUCCCAAGCGUUGUUCGGAUUCACUGGGCGUAAAGAGCUCGUAGGCGGCUUGGUAAGUCGGGUGUGAAACCUCCAGGCUCAACCUGGAGACGCCACUCGAUACUGCCAUGGCUAGAGUCCGGUAGGGGCCCACGGAAUUCCUGGUGUAGCGGUGAAAUGCGCAGAUAUCAGGAGGAACACCGGUGGCGAAGGCGGUGGGCUGGGCCGGAACUGACGCUGAGGAGCGAAAGCGUGGGGAGCGAACAGG
This 254-nucleotide ribosomal RNA is filed under the name uncultured bacterium. Its description in RNAcentral is "partial 16S ribosomal RNA". It matches the Rfam family "Bacterial small subunit ribosomal RNA", at positions 524 to 776 of the family's 1533-position model. The record is from RNAcentral.